Molecule: ribosomal RNA, 500 nt
Filed under: uncultured bacterium
Lineage: Bacteria
Description: partial 16S ribosomal RNA
Rfam family: Bacterial small subunit ribosomal RNA
Source: RNAcentral
AUUGAACGCUGGCGGCAUGCCUUACACGUGCAAGUCGAACGGCAGCACGGUGCUUGCACCUGGUGGCGAGUGGCGAACGGGUGAGUAAUACAUCGGAACGUACCUUAUCGUGGGGGAUAACGCAGCGAAAGCUGUGCUAAUACCGCAUACGCCCUGAGGGGGAAAGCGGGGGAUCGAAAGACCUCGCGCGAUUAGAGCGGCCGAUGCCUGAUUAGCUUGUUGGUGGGGUAAAAGCCCACCAAGGCGACGAUCAGUAGCUGGUCUGAGAGGACGAUAAGCCACACUGGGACUGAGACACGGCCCAGACUCCUACGGGAGGCAGCAGUGGGGAAUUUUGGACAAUGGGGGCAACCCUGAUCGAGCAAUGCCGCGUGAGUGAAGAAGGCCUUCGGGUUGUAAAGCUCUUUUGUCAGGGAAGAAACACCGGCUCUAACACAGUCCGGGAAUGACGGUACCUGAAGAAUAAGCACCGGCUAACUACGUGCCAGCCGCCGCCGUAA